RNAcentral lists this long non-coding RNA (292 nucleotides) under Micromonas pusilla. RNAcentral describes it as "long non-coding RNA (MPUS_LNC000061)". The record is from RNAcentral. Lineage: Eukaryota; Viridiplantae; Chlorophyta; Mamiellophyceae; Mamiellales; Mamiellaceae.
GCCCGUCGCUCGUGAACCGCAACGAUCGAAUCGCGCCCAUCGUGCCGCGCAGCGUGAGCAGCGACCCGCGUCCGAGGCACCGCGCGUCCCACACCUUGGUCGUCGUGUCUUGGUUCCCCGUCGCGAACAGGAUCCCGUUCGGGUGCCACGCCGCGGCGAACGAAAAGUCCAGGUGCCCCUCCAUCGUCGCGAUCCGUCUCCCCGUCGCGACGUCCACGAGCCACGCCUCUUUGCUGUCGCCGACGACCACCGUCGAUCGGCCAUCCGCCGACGUCGACGCGUAAUUCACCGC